Molecule: ribosomal RNA, 496 nt
Filed under: uncultured bacterium
Lineage: Bacteria
Description: partial 16S ribosomal RNA
Rfam family: Bacterial small subunit ribosomal RNA
Source: RNAcentral
GAUGAACGCUAGCGGCAGGCCUAAUACAUGCAAGUCGAGGGGUAGAAGAGGCUUGCUUCUUUGAGACCGGCGCACGGGUGCGUAACGCGUAUGCAACCUACCUUCAUCUGGGGGAUAGCCCGGAGAAAUCCGGAUUAAUACCGCAUAAAAUCACAGGAUGGCAUUAUCCAAUGAUCAAACAUUUAUGGGAUGGAGAUGGGCAUGCGUGUCAUUAGCUAGUUGGCGGGGUAACGGCCCACCAAGGCGACGAUGACUAGGGGAUCUGAGAGGAUGGCCCCCCACACUGGUACAGAGACACGGACCAGACGCCGACGGGAGGCAGCAGUAAGGAAUAUUGGUCAAUGAAGCCAACUCUGAACAAGCCAUGUCGCGUGCAAGAAGACUGCCCUAUGAAUUGUAAACUGCUUUUAUUCGGGAAUAAACCUUAUUACGUGUAAUAAGCUGAAUGUACCGAAGGAAUAAGGAUCGGCUAACUCCGUGCCAGCCGCCGCCGUAA